CUCAAGUUUGAAUUUUACAAGCGCUAUUUCAGAAUUAAAUUCCAACUUACCUUCCUUACUGGAGCAGUGCAAUUUUCCAAGCGUACAGGAUGAAGAAUUCAUACCAUACAACACCAUCUAUGUUGGAUGUUGCCGAUGGUUCUAUGACCUGGUUGCCUUCGUAACAAGGACACUGGUGGGCAGGCACACAACUGCCAACUUCAUUAAGUGCUGGCUACAAUAUACAACUGCAUGACUGGAGCUAACUGAAUCUCUAGACGAAGACUCCUCAUAUCAGCAAUGAUGAAAGAGGAAGUGGGCUGAAAGAUGCUCACAGGACCUGGGACAAUU
Molecule: long non-coding RNA, 330 nt
Organism: Carassius auratus (goldfish)
Lineage: Eukaryota; Metazoa; Chordata; Actinopteri; Cypriniformes; Cyprinidae
Exons: 3
Source: RefSeq, a predicted model, not a curated record